UACUAGAGUAGCACUCGCAUAUCAAUAAGCGGAGGAAAAGAAACUAACAAGGAUUCCCCUAGUAACGGCGAGUGAAGCGGGAAGAGCUCAAAUUUGAAAUCUUAAAGGGUUUCCCUUUACGAAUUGUAGUUUAAAGAAGUGUUUUCUGUUGAGGUUUUGGUAAAAGUUCUUUGGAAUAGGACAUCAUAGAGGGUGAGAAUCCCGUAUUUGACCUUUACUUUCAACUUUGUGAUACACUUUCAAAGAGUCGGAUUGUUUGGGAAUGCAGUCCAAAAUGGGUGGUAAAUUUCAUCUAAAGCUAAAUAUUGGCGAGAGACCGAUAGCGAACGAGUACCGUGAGGGAAAGAUGAAAAGAACUUUGAAAAGAGAGUUAAACAGUACGUGAAAUUGUCAAAAGGGAAGCGUUUGACACCAGUGUUGUUUUUCUGAAAAUCAAUUAAAGAACUGUUUAUGCUAAGCUGUUUAGACUUUAUCAGCUAUCUGUUUAGUUUUGAGCUUUUCUUUAAUGCACUUUUCAGUUAACAAGUCAACAUCAAUUUCUUUUGCUGUAAAAAAGCUUGAGGAAGGUGGCUUGAGAUUCGUCUUAAGUGUUUAUAGCCUCUUGCCUAUGCAGUCGGAGAGAUUGAGGUCUGCAGCGUAGAUCCUUCGGGGCUAAAUGCAUUUGUGCUAAGUUAUAGCAUUUUAUAGACAACUUGUUGACUAUGAUUUGUCUUGUAGCUUACUCGCUUAUGUUAUUUUACCUACGCUUAGGAUGUUGAGCGCAUGUCUCUCUCU
RNAcentral lists this ribosomal RNA (774 nucleotides) under uncultured Neocallimastigales. RNAcentral describes it as "partial large subunit ribosomal RNA". It matches the Rfam family "Eukaryotic large subunit ribosomal RNA", at positions 20 to 616 of the family's 3401-position model. Lineage: Eukaryota; Fungi; Neocallimastigomycota; Neocallimastigomycetes; Neocallimastigales. The record is from RNAcentral.